CGGACGGGUGAGUAACGCGUGGGUAACCUGCCUCACACUGGGGGAGUAACAGUUAGAAAUAGCUGCUAAUACCGCAUAAGCGCACGGUUCCGCAUGGAACAGUGUGAAAAACUCCGGUGGUGUGAGAUGGACCCGCGUCUGAUUAGCCAGUUGGCGGGGUAACGGCCCACCAAAGCGACGAUCAGUAGCCGGCCUGAGAGGGUGAACGGCCACAUUGGGGCUGAGACACGGCCCAA
Molecule: ribosomal RNA, 236 nt
Filed under: uncultured bacterium
Lineage: Bacteria
Description: partial 16S ribosomal RNA
Rfam family: Bacterial small subunit ribosomal RNA
Source: RNAcentral